CGUUCAGUCCUCAAACCUCCCAGUUACUUUUUUUUCCCGUUCUUUUGGUUCUUUGCCAGUCUAUCUUUAUUA
Molecule: non-coding RNA, 72 nt
Organism: Sordaria macrospora k-hell
Lineage: Eukaryota; Fungi; Ascomycota; Sordariomycetes; Sordariales; Sordariaceae
Source: the annotation of a RefSeq genome assembly